CGCUAGUAAUCGCGGAUCAGCACGCCGCGGUGAAUACGUUCCCGGGCCUUGUACACACCGCCCGUCACACCAUGGAAGUCUGCAAUGCCCGAAGCCGGUGGCCUAACCACUUAUGUGGAAGGAGCCGUCUAAGGCAGGGCAGAUGACUGGGGUGAAGUCGUAACAAGGUACC
RNAcentral lists this ribosomal RNA (172 nucleotides) under uncultured bacterium. RNAcentral describes it as "partial 16S ribosomal RNA". It matches the Rfam family "Bacterial small subunit ribosomal RNA", at positions 1333 to 1500 of the family's 1533-position model. The record is from RNAcentral.